RNAcentral lists this ribosomal RNA (425 nucleotides) under uncultured bacterium. RNAcentral's name for it is "bacterial SSU rRNA". It matches the Rfam family "Bacterial small subunit ribosomal RNA", at positions 359 to 776 of the family's 1533-position model. The record is from RNAcentral.
GAAUCUUGGACAAUGGGCGCAAGCCUGAUCCAGCCAUGCCGCGUGGAUGAUGAAGGCCUUAGGGUUGUAAAGCACUUUCAGGAGUGAAGAAAGGCGUUGGGUGAAUAAUCUGACGUGUUGACGUUAGCUCCAGAAGGAGCACCGGCUAACUCCGUGCCAGCAGCCGCGGUAAUACGGAGGGUGCGAACGUUAAUCGGAAUUACUGGGCGUAAAGCGCGCGUAGGCGGUUCGUUAAGUGGGAUGUGAAAGCCCUGGGCUCAACCUAGGAAUUGCAUUUCAAACUGGCGGACUUGAGUGCAGUAGAGGGAGGUGGAAUUCCAGGUGUAGCGGUGAAAUGCGUAGAUAUCUGGAGGAACAUCGGUGGCGAAGGCGGCCUCCUGGACUGACACUGACGCUGAGGCGCGAAAGCGUGGGGAGCAAACAGG